Non-coding RNA from Pantherophis guttatus, 1804 nucleotides. The record is from RefSeq and is a predicted model, not a curated record. Lineage: Eukaryota; Metazoa; Chordata; Lepidosauria; Squamata; Colubridae.
CAGGAGCAGAGGAGUCAGCCUGUUCAAGGGUUAUGAUCCUAAAAGGAAUACAAUAAUUAUCAUAAAUAUUAACAUAUAGAUGAAGUUUGAUAGAUGCAGGGUUUGGUUUAAAAAAGGGGGCACAAGGAGCUGACUCUUAUGCAUAUCAGCCCCCAAGUAUAGCUCAAGUGACCUUAACAGGUCCCAUUGUGCUAAGAAGAAAUAAGUCCGUUUCCACAAUAUGAUCUUGAACAUAUACACACCAUUUUCAAAGAGAGUGUCAGGAACUGCAUCAAACUAGAACAUUAGGAACAUCUUUAUUAUAGAUCCAGAGGAAUUAUGGAAUCAACUUAAAGAUGUUAUUAAAGUUGAAUGUGGAAUUGCAUCAAGAAAAACAUCAGGAACCUCAUUGAUAGAGAGCCAGAGGAAUUAUGGAAUCAAUUUAAAGAUGUUAUUAAAAAUGAAUGUGGAAAAAAUGACUUCAAAAAUGAAGAAAGAGAAGAAAGCAAAACUGAUGUCAGAAACCCUCUCCCCACAGAAUUCUCAAGAAAAGAAGCCAAAGCCAAGAAAAACAAAAAUUUCAGAUGAGAACCUCUCAGUGCUGUUAGAAGAGAUAAGAAGCACUAUUACAAAAACAUGUAAAUAUUUUAAAUAUGGAACAGACAUGGAAAAACAAGGAAAGUCUUUCAAAAAUGUCUGAACUCAAAAGGAGGGUCCAACUUCAAAUCUGUAUGGUAAGAUAUGCCAAUGGACAUAGUAGAUAAUAAUUGAUUCAAAGAUGGAAGGUAUUAGUGCAAUAAUGCAGAGUAGAAAUAUUAAUAUACAAAAUACUUAAAAGAUGAAUUCCCUGCUUAGAAGAUCUCUAGGAUUAGAAGAUGAAGUUAUUUUUUUUAUAUAAUAGUAUUACUUUUUUUAAAAAAGGAACAUUAAAAUUUAAUAGAAAUUAAUAGAAAGAAAAAGAAACAGAAAAGAAAGAAAUCAGAAAGAAAUCUAAAGUACAAGAAAGGGAAAAACAGAGAAAGAAAGAGAAAGAAAGAGAAAGAAAGAAAGAAAGAAAGAAAGAAAGAAAGAAAGAAAGAAAGAAGUACCUUCCAAUCUUUUUCAUAGAAGUUAUAAGCACAAUUAUAGAUUUACAUAUUACUCAUAUGUACUCAUAUGUACAUUACAUAUUUACAACAGAACUCUCUUUUUUCUAUAACCUAUUCUGUCUAAUCAUCAACACCAUAAAUUCAUUUUUAUUUUUAUGUUUUGUUUUACACUAAAAAUCCACUAGGAGUUAACGAUCAGCAAUAAACAUAGAUAUUGUCUUUUCUGUGAUUAAGAAAUCAACUUAGCCAUCUCAGCAAGUUUCAUUAUCUUUACCAACCUUUCCUCCAUUGUGGAUAGUGGCAAAUCUUUCCAUUUUUGCAUAUAAAAUAAUCUUGCUGCAGUUAUCUUAUUCAAAAACAAAGUUCCAUGACUUUUUAAAACUAUUUGUCCAUCUAUGCCAAAAGAAAAACCUCUAGUCUCAAUUAUAUAUUAAUCUUUAAAAUCAAUGUGUGUAAUGAAUCCAAAAUUUUCUAGGUUUUUCACAUGUCCCCUAAACAUUAUAAAAUGACCCUUCUGCUUGUUCAACUUUCCAACAUAAAUUUGAAGUGCCCUUAUAUAUUCUAAACAAUUUCUCUCAUAAAUAUAACAGUGUAUCAUUUUAUAAAAAAAUAUUUUCAAGAUAAUAACAGUGUAAAUUUUAAUUGUUUCAACUAUAUGAUUUCCCCUUGUUCCAUCUGAAUAUUACAACAAACUUCUUUUUGUUUCAAAUAUCAAUAAAAGUACAUUUUAGCAAUUA